UACGUAGGGAGCGAGCGUUGUCCGGAUUUACUGGGUGUAAAGGGAGCGUAGACGGCGAUGCAAGCCAGAUGUGAAAGCCCGGGGCUCAACUCCGGGACUGCUUUUGAAACUGUGUGACUGGAGUGCAGGAGAGGUAAGCGGAAUUCCUGGUGUAGCGGUGAAAUGCGUAGAUAUCAGGAGGAACACCAGUGGCGAAGGCGACUUACUGGACUGUAACUGACGCUGAGGCAUGAGAGCAUGGGGAGCAAACAGG
Molecule: ribosomal RNA, 253 nt
Filed under: uncultured Eubacteriales bacterium
Lineage: Bacteria; Bacillati; Bacillota; Clostridia; Eubacteriales
Description: uncultured Clostridiales bacterium partial 16S ribosomal RNA
Rfam family: Bacterial small subunit ribosomal RNA
Source: RNAcentral